This 516-nucleotide ribosomal RNA is filed under the name uncultured bacterium. RNAcentral's name for it is "bacterial SSU rRNA". It matches the Rfam family "Bacterial small subunit ribosomal RNA", at positions 12 to 518 of the family's 1533-position model. The record is from RNAcentral.
UUCGAUUCUGGCUCAGGAUGAACGCUAGCUACAGGCUUAACACAUGCAAGUCGAGGGGCAGCAUUGGAGUAGCAAUACUUCAGAUGGCGACCGGCGCACGGGUGAGUAACACGUAUCCAACCUGCCGCUUACUCGGGGAUAGCCUUUCGAAAGAAAGAUUAAUACCCGAUGGUAUAAAGAGUUCGCAUGUUCUCUUUAUUAAAGAAUUUCGGUAAGCGAUGGGGAUGCGUUCCAUUAGAUAGUUGGCGGGGUAACGGCCCACCAAGUCUACGAUGGAUAGGGGUUCUGAGAGGAAGGUCCCCCACAUUGGAACUGAGACACGGUCCAAACUCCUACGGGAGGCAGCAGUGAGGAAUAUUGGUCAAUGGACGAGAGUCUGAACCAGCCAAAAGUAGCGUGAAGGAUGACUGCCCUAUGGGUUGUAAACUUCUUUUAUAAGGGAAUAAAGUGAGGGACGUGUCCCUUUUUGUAUGUACCUUAUGAAUAAGGAUCGGCUAACUCCGUGCCAGCCGCGGC